This 348-nucleotide ribosomal RNA is filed under the name uncultured bacterium. RNAcentral describes it as "bacterial SSU rRNA". It matches the Rfam family "Bacterial small subunit ribosomal RNA", at positions 28 to 365 of the family's 1533-position model. The record is from RNAcentral.
GAUGAACGCUAGCUACAGGCUUAACACAUGCAAGUCGAGGGGAAACGACAUCGAAAGCUUGCUUUUGAUGGGCGUCGACCGGCGCACGGGUGAGUAACGCGUAUCCAACCUGCCCACCACUUGGGGAUAACCUUGCGAAAGUAAGACUAAUACCCGAUGAUAUCCCUAGAAGACAUCUGAAAGGGAUUAAAGAUUUAUCGGUGAUGGAUGGGGAUGCGUCUGAUUAGCUUGUUGGCGGGGUAACGGCCCACCAAGGCUACGAUCAGUAGGGGUUCUGAGAGGAAGGUCCCCCACAUUGGAACUGAGACACGGUCCAAACUCCCUACGGGAGCAGCAGUGAGGAAUAUU